Molecule: long non-coding RNA, 5905 nt
Filed under: Homo sapiens (human)
Lineage: Eukaryota; Metazoa; Chordata; Mammalia; Primates; Hominidae
Description: HSALNT0033284
Source: RNAcentral
GUGAUAGGCUCUUUACUGGCAACUGGGCAGCAAAUGAUCCAGCUCUAAAAUCCCAUCCCAGCCUCUGCUUUCUUGACCACUUGUGGCACUAACUGUUGUAAGUUGAGUUCCCUUGGAGGUGGAUCCUGAGAUAGAGAAUAGCAUGAAGGUGAAUUGUUAAGACAUAAUCGUCAAUCGACACCUUUGGAAAGGAAGGGAGGAAAACAGGAUUUGGCAGAGAAAAAAGUUGUGCUGCACCAUAGUCUCAAAGGAGGCCUCAGCUGACUCCAGAGUGAGUUCUGCAACUAGGAUGUCCCUUAAGAGUUGUCCCGAGCUGGGGGGGAGUGCUAUAUCUAUUUUGUAGAGUAAACAAUUGAACCUUGCCCAAAGAGAAGUUUGGCUUUAGACCACAGCUCCUGGGAAGUUAUUCCUAAGCCCUUGGAGUAUCCUGCCUGAUAAAAGUGUCCUUGUUCAUCUAAGGGCCUUGGGCCUCAGAAGAUGGUCUAACAAUGUGAUUUAUUGUGGGUGCUCUGAAUCAUGAGGUACCAGCUCAACCUCCAGACAGACUGGCAACUAAGGUCAGCCACGUGGGCAGUCAAUCAUGUCUAUGUGAUGGAGCCCCACAUAAAGACUCUGGAUACCAAAACACAGCUAACUGACUGCUUAGUAUAAAGCAGAAUAUUUUAAAGAUGGCUUUUCUGGAAAAUAAUCUUGGAUUUAUUUGAGAUAAGAAGGUCAAAUGAAGGUUUAAGAUAGCUGAUUGAAGAAAAGUGUUCACCUGGUCUCAUUCCCUAAGUUCCAUUGAAAUGGUAGAGAAAAUGCACAAACAAAAAUGAAUUUUAACAGAAAUGAAAAACCAAGAGAAUUGCCACUAGGAUAUCAGAACUUUGGGAAUUUCCUAGAAAAAGCAGAUGGAAACAGACCUAAAGAUUCACAUGGAAAUAAGGACAAAUGAGAAGCCCUCCAAUAAAGGACUCUUAAAAAAAAAAAAAAAAAAAAAAAGCCCAUGAUCAGAGGCAGUAGGAAUGAAAGAAGAACUAGGAGAUGGGCCUAGACACUGAUUUUAAAAGAGUAAAAUAACUCUGUCCAUGUUCUGAUAAAGCACCUAAUGCUGUCUUUUGACCUCAGCUACUGCUCUGCUGUGUGAGAAUUUUCACGCAGCAGACUCUCAGAGUAGACACUGGGGCUUGAACAAAGUAAUUUCCCCAAUAAUUUUGUGCUGCCUCAGGGGAAGAAACGAAACUUCCACCGAAGACAAACUACUGGUCAUCCUAAAGGAAAGCACAGCCUACCAGGGCCCAUAACAGCUCUGCACUCCAGAACCACCCCAACACCGCCCAUCUGAACUAUAUCCAUUGCCAAGAGAAAAAGAAAUUUUCAUGUGCACUAGGAAAACAUUUCUGAGCUGUUGGUUCUGUUCAUUUACAGACAUUUAUCUGAAAAUAUGAACUGUCAUGAAGUAUUUUCAAACAUUCAACAGAAAUCAAUAGCCAAUAGAAUGAAGGAACAGAGGGAUGGAAGAAUGGAGAGACAAAAGAGGAAAGAAAGAAAACAAUAGUUUCAGCAUGUCUGGAAGAAGCUCUGAACUCCAGAGAUUAAGGGAAAAUCCUAAACAUCAAUAGGGAGGAAAAAAGUAGGCUACAUUCGUAAGAAUAAGGUUUCUCAGGAACUGGGAGCUAGAGCACAAUGGAACAAUGUCUUCAAUGUUCUUGUGAAAUAUGAUGAAUCAAAAAUUCCAGACUCUACUAGCAUUUAAGUAUUUGGACAAAAUAAAGACAUUUUCAUAUCUCUGCAUACUCAAUGUUUAAAACGCAGGCCAGGAUUCCUUUCCUUUUCCAAGAAAAUGGCUUACAAUUUGUAUGAGCAUAUAUUAAAAUGGAAAUUGAAUUUAAGAAAGAGAAGGGAUUUUUUUAAAAUAAUGGGUAAAAAUAAACCAUAAAUGUAUAGUAAUGCUAAAUAAAUCUAAAUAACCUGACUGUUAACGUUAAACAACUUUCUAGAGAGAAAUAGAGAGUCACACACCAGGUCUUAAAUGCUUGACUUGGAGGUGGCACACAUCAGUUCUGCUUAGAGCCCACCAUUCAGAACUAGUUCACAGACCCAUCUAACUGCAAGGGGCCGGGAAAUGUAGGAAAGGACAGGAAUACUGUAUUAGAUGAGUAUUAAAUGUCCUCACCAUAGUUCAUAAUAAUUUUAUCUUCUCAAUGGAACAUGCCUUUCAACAGCAUGUUAUAUCCUCCUUUGACCAUAUAAUGGUUUUUAUGUUGGAAUCAAUUUUCUUAGAAAUUAAGAUUGGCCCAUCUACCUUUCAUGGUUAUACAUUGCCUGGAAUAAUUUUAUCCAUCCUUUUAUUUUCAAUCUUUCUAUGUUGUUUCAUUUUGUGUGUUCCUUGAAAACAUCAAGUAACUGGAACUUGUUCUCUAAGUGUCUGUACCUUUUAAUAGUUUAUUUUAAUCUAACCACCUUCAUUUUGAUAACUGAUAUUUUGUAACUGAUUAUUGUUCUCAUUCCUAUCUUAUUUUUUCAUUUUUCAUUUUCUUUUUUUAAAAUCUUUGCAUGUUUCUUUUUUCUUCUCUUAUUUUUACUGAUUAAAGAAAUUUUCUGUUUCCUUUUUUGUGCUAGUGGUUUGGAAAUCACAUGUUCUAUUUCCACUUUUCUCAAGAUUGAAUUUAUGCUAAAUACAUGUGCUUAAAAUAUUUUAAUUAAAUGUUGAAAAACAUUUGUAUUAAUAAGCUCUUCUUGAAACAAGACAAAAUGCUUAUCAUGCUUCAAUUCCAGUUUUCCUUUGCUCCCUCCUGUGUUUAUUGAAAACAUUUGAAAUUCUUUUUCCUGCAUUUAUUAUUAUUUUAAAGUCAGGCCUUUAUUUACUAAUAAACCAUUCUUGAAAUUGUCAACUAGGGUUUAUUCUAGGAGUACAACAAAGGUUCAAAUUUAGACCUUUUGUUACUGCAACUCACUAUAUUAGUAAACAAAAUGUGUUAACUUGAUUAAAAAGACAUAGCAAAUGUCAUACUUGAGGGUGGAACAGUAGAAGCAUUUGAUUAAAAUUCAUACCAGAGAAGGAUGAUACACAGCAUUAUUCUUGAGGUUCUAAUCAAUGCAAUUUGAUAAGGAAAGUGAAUAAAUUCUUAGUAUUGGAGAAAAAGAGACAAAACUGCCAUUACUUUCAAAUGAUAUGCUUAUCUAUUUUCUUUAAAAAUCAAAGAAAGUAAGUCAAAAAACACAAAGAACCAAUAAGAAGGUUCAGUAAGGUAGCCAAUUACAAUAAGAUCAACAGAUAGAAACUCAAUAAUUUUCUACAUCAGAAAAACAACUUAAUAGAAAUUGAAAUGCAAUUUUAAAAUCCCCAGAGCAAUAAAAGCUAUAAAAUACUUAGAAAUAACCAAAUAAAGACAUGCAUAAACUUAUGAAGAAAAUGAUUUUACUGAAAACAAAUUUCCAAAUAAAUGAGACUAAAUUUUGUAAAAUGUCAAUUCUCUCAUAAUUAAUUUAUAAAAGCAGCGAAAUGCCAGUCAGAAUUUCAAUAGGCUUUUUUUAUGAGACUUGAAAAGCUGAAUGUAAAAUUCAACUAGGAGGGCAAAUACAUUAAAAAAAAAAACAGUGAAAAAUGACAGGAAUUCUGCAGUGUGAUAUUGGCAUCAGACUAAAUCAUGGAAUAGAAUAGACAGUUUCGGAAACCAAAUAUAAAUUUAAUACAUGAUAAAGAAAGAAGUAACUAGACAAUGCCUAAUGUUGGGACAAACAGCUAUCCAUUUGGAGAAAAGAUAUAAAAUUAGAGUCUUACCUUGUACUAUAUGUAAGAAUGAAUCCUGUUUGGAUUAAAGAUCAACAUAUUAAAAAGUUAUCAAAGAAAGUUUAAGAUAAGAAUUUUAUGAUGUUGAAGAAUGCUUUCCUCAGCAAAAUACAAAAAAAAAAGGUAUCAAUAAUAAAAGGAAAGGCUACUGAUUUGAUGACUCACAAAUUUAAAACAUCUCUAAGGCAAACACCACCAUAAACAAACUUGAAAGAAAAGCAACAAACCAAAAAGAAAUAGUUGCAUCAUAAUAAAGUUACUACCCAUUCUUACCAUAAAAAUUGGUAAGAACAAUUUCUUUUAAAGGGAAAGGAGGCUGGGCUUCCUUUCCUUUUUAAAGAAAAUGGAAGACUGAGGUUGGAGGAUUGCUUAAGCCCAAGAGUUUGAGAUCACCCUGGGCAACAUGGCUAAACCCCGUCUCGCAGGGCACAGUGGAGCACACCUGUAAUUCUGCUACUUGGGAGGCUGAAGUGGGAGGAUCCCUUGAGCCUGGGAGGUCAAGGCUGCAGUGAGCCAUGAUCAAGCCACUGCACUACAGCCUGGGUGACAGAGAGAGACCCUGUCCCCAAAAUAAAUAAAUAAAUAAAUAAAUAAAUAAAUAAAGGAAAGGAGAUAUGAUUAGGCAAUUAAGAAGAAACAAAAAUGGCAAAUUAACAUGAGAAAGAAUAUGCAACCUAACUAGGAAUCAGAGAAAUGAAUAUUAAAGCAAUAUAACGAUAUCACUCCUUUAACUCUCAGAUCAGCAACAUUUUAAAAGAUUGAUAUUAUUUAUUUAUGGAAAGAAUAUGGCAAGAUGAAUAACACACAUUCUGGUGGAAUUUAACUCAGCACAGGCUUUUUGGUGGCCAGCUUGACAUUAUCUGGUCAAAUGUGUGGACAUUGGUCUAUUCUACUUCUGAGAAUGGAUCCUGUGAAAUACACACAUGGCCCAAGCCAAGCCACAUGCACUAGCAUAUUUAUUGAUCUUUUUUUAUUGGGAUGUAGCCUAAUGUCCAUCAAUAGAAAAAUGGUUACAGCAGUUGUCCUGCAAUGCAAUCACUAAGACAAUUGAGGUAGAGCCAUACGUACCCAGAUGGAAAGAGUUCUAAGACACAUUUUUAGGAGAAAAAAACAAAUCAAGGAUAAAUAGCUGGAACUCAUUCAUCUUCUUAAAGCUACAUAUAUGUACGUUUUGUAUCUACAUAUAAAUGCACAGAAAAAGGUCUGACUAACACAAAUCAAAUGGUUAGAAAUGGUUACCUACAGGAGGUGCUUCAACUUAUUAUUCAAUACAGUAUAUAACUGUACAGUAUAAAUUUUUACAGGAAGCAAGUAUUCACAUAUUACUUCUAUAAUUUUUUUCUAAGUUAAGAUCGAAUAUCUUCAGACUUCCCUGUUUCAAUGCUAGCUUUGAGAAGGAGCCACUCUAAGGAGUCCUCUCCUUAGAGCUCACAUUCAUGCAGGGAAGGCUGCUAAAGGCACAUGGCAUUGUGAACAGAGCUGAAAACUUGACUCCAAACUUUAUCUUGCUUUCCUGUUUUCUUUUCCCAUUGAUUGUUUGUAUCUGACUAUUUUGCACAUGUAUCUGUAAGUGCCCUUCAAUCCUUAUGGAAAAUAUCAGUAACUUCCAUGAACAGUAAAGGGUCCCAGCCUGGAGCCCUGGGAUCUGGUACACACGGGCGCUCUCAGUAGCUGUGAAAUCUGGAAUAAGUCCCAGCUUCUGCAUGCCUCGUUUUCUUCAUCUGUGAAAUGCAGUGGCUGGCCCAGUGCUCUCAAAGUCCCUUUCCUGUUCUUAGCCUUUAGGUUUUGUGUGCUCUGCUGGGCUCCUUCUUCUCUCCACAUCCUAAAGGCACUGCAGCAGGAAAGUGUGACUGCUCAGCCCCUUCCAUCAGCUCAGAUCACUGAGAUUCGACUGUCUCCCCAUGUGGGCCAGGGGCUGGUGAGGAAUUAAGAAUUCACACAGAAAAUCACUUUGAUUUCCCCCGCAGCACUAUUCAUUUGGGAGACACAUCUCUGAUAGUUUAUGCCCAAAGCCUCUUUAUGAGAGUCUAGAAUGGUUCUAGCGCCAGCAGUCACAGUGACCCACCAACUCAAGCCAGGUGUCCCCUCUUGGGAGCAAACUGUCUCUGGUUGGUUUGCCUUUGUCAAUAAAAU